RNAcentral lists this ribosomal RNA (61 nucleotides) under Cryptococcus neoformans. RNAcentral's name for it is "partial 18S ribosomal RNA". The record is from RNAcentral. Lineage: Eukaryota; Fungi; Basidiomycota; Tremellomycetes; Tremellales; Cryptococcaceae.
AUAAACCACCGUCCUCAUAUACUCUACUGAUCCUUCCGUAGGUGAACCUGCGGAAGGAUCA